This 686-nucleotide unclassified non-coding RNA is filed under the name Hevea brasiliensis (rubber tree). The record is from RNAcentral. Lineage: Eukaryota; Viridiplantae; Streptophyta; Magnoliopsida; Malpighiales; Euphorbiaceae.
CCUAUCCGACAAUUUGGGGCACAUUGCCAUGGCAUGGCUCAACCAGUCAGAAUAAGAAGUGUAGUGCCUGUUUACGCCGCACCUCAACACCAAUCGCCAUCACUCCCCCCUCAGGUGAUGCGAGGACUACCUCAACAAGCUCCUCCUGUUACCGUUAGGCAAACUUCACUAGCAUAUGCUGCUCCACCGCCAUUUCGAAAAGAAGACCCAAUGAAUGUUCGAAAAGAUCAUUCAGCUGUUUGGAAAGAAGAAUCUCUGGCUGUUGAAAAAGAUCAUCCACCUGUUCAGAAAGAAGGAUCUCAGGCUGUUCAAAAGGAAGAUCCUCUAAACAUUAUGAAAGAAGAUCAUACAACUACUAUUGGUGCUGCUAUGCCAAAUAAAUUACCAGCUCAAAUAGAGGAAACUGGGAACCCAGCAAUAGAUAAGCUGAAAGAAUCUGAGACAAUACAAAGGGUGGAACAACUCUCAGUCUGAUCGUCGCUGGGGGAAGAAUUGGAUCCAUGAGAGAAUCUAAUGGUUUUUAUGCUUGUCUCACUUUUGUUGUAGUAUCUUCUUUCAUCAUAUUAUAUGAGUGUUUUUACUUCAACCUUUUUGUUUCCUUUUCUUUCCUUGUUGCUUUUUACCGUUUUCCAUUUUGUUCUCUUAGAAGCCACAGUUCCUGCAGGUUAAAUUAGUAUGGGUAGUGC